This 254-nucleotide unclassified non-coding RNA is filed under the name uncultured Acidimicrobiia bacterium. RNAcentral describes it as "contains 16S-23S intergenic spacer region". It matches the Rfam family "Bacterial small subunit ribosomal RNA", at positions 524 to 776 of the family's 1533-position model. The record is from RNAcentral. Lineage: Bacteria; Bacillati; Actinomycetota; Acidimicrobiia.
UACGUAGGGUCCAAGCGUUGUCCGGAUUUAUUGGGCGUAAAGAGCUCGUAGGCGGUUCAGUAAGUCGGAUGUGAAAACUCGGGGCUCAACCCCGAGACGCCAUCCGAUACUGCUGUGACUUGAGUCUGGUAGGGGAGAUCGGAAUUCCUGGUGUAGCGGUGAAAUGCGCAGAUAUCAGGAGGAACACCGGUGGCGAAGGCGGAUCUCUGGGCCAGUACUGACGCUGAGGAGCGAAAGCGUGGGUAGCAAACAGG